GUUUGGGGAGGAGCAGAAGCAAAUGGGCAAGCUGUCCUGGGCUGUGUACCGCUCAUAUUGGAGGACAGUGGAUAGAUGCAUGGCUGUGGCUGCUCCGCUCUCCCUUCUUCUAAUGCAAGCCUCCAGAAAUGUGUCCGACUGGUGACUUUCUCACUGGAUUUCCCAUUUGAAGAACAAUACGACUGAGCUGGUGUCACUGUCAACGCUGACCUUCUUCUCUCCUGAGAGACUUGUGUUUCACGCAACUGACAGAGGUUCAGAUACUACGGGGAAUACAAUUUCCAAGAAUCUGUUCCCAUGAAGAAACAAACUCAUCUACAUUUUGGAUGACCAGAGGGUGAGUAUAUUUUCAGUAAGUAUUCAUUUUUGGUUGAAAUAUUACUUUAAGCACAACACAGAAGUCUGGUGCUUUCUCUCAUUGGCUGUACUGUUAUUUAUCAUUGGCUCUUUGGAAUACUGAUGAAAAUUGAUAAUUAAUCAAAUUCUAAAAAUAAAAAAAUCUAAAUAGCAUGUAAAAGUGUUUUUAAAUGAAUGAUAUAAAUAACUCAAUAAAAAUAAAAAUAGAAUGACUGAAUUAAAAUGUCAGGGGAAUUCUUGUACUGAUCAAUACAAAUAAUGAUUCAAUGAUGACAGAGGUUCAGGUACUACGGGGAAUGCAAGCUCUGAGUUGAAGUUUUACAUGACCGUGUAUGGA
This is a long non-coding RNA of Carassius gibelio (silver crucian carp), 694 nucleotides long. RefSeq lists it as uncharacterized. The record is from RefSeq and is a predicted model, not a curated record. The transcript has 3 exons. Lineage: Eukaryota; Metazoa; Chordata; Actinopteri; Cypriniformes; Cyprinidae.